Molecule: long non-coding RNA, 1450 nt
Organism: Malaclemys terrapin pileata
Lineage: Eukaryota; Metazoa; Chordata; Testudines; Emydidae
Exons: 7
Source: RefSeq, a predicted model, not a curated record
GCGAUUGCAGAAAGAGGAGGAUUUAGUUCUGGCAAAACUAGUCCAGUGGCAAAGUGCAGAACUGAUGUGGCUGUCAUGGUAAAGGAAUUCCGGAAUAAAGAACCAUUGUCUGAAGCUAAUCUUUACAUGCAGGAGUAGAUGGUAUCAAUGGGAAAAAAUGGGAACUCAUUAAAGAGAAAACAUUAAUCAAGUAGAAGGAAGUUCUUUCAGAGACAGGUCAAAUCAGCUGUUUUGAUGAAAUACACUGUAUGUCAAUGUAAAGGAACUAUUUGAGAGACUAUGGACGACAACUGCUGUUCAGUUUAACAUUUGUAUGACAAGUGGGUGAAUGUCCUUCUCUUACAAGUCAAUGCAGAGGAAGUGGAAAAGAGGUUUAGAAUUUAUGGAAGACUAGCUACAAACUGACAAAGCUAUUUUGUCCACUAGACUUGCAUAGCCUUUUGAAAGUGCCCACAACUAUGAAAACAAAAGCUGAAAAUUUUAAAAUCAACAUGUCACUUAUAAAAGCUCUGUGUGCGCCUGGGAUUUAGCCAAGACUCUGGAAUACGAUGAGUCAAAAGGUUCUGCUGGAGGAUCACAUUGUGAAAACUACAGCCAUGAAAGUCCCUCCAUUUAUUGCACCCUUCAAAAACGAAAUAUUAGCAUGGGAGGCUAAGCUGCGCGACUAAUGCAGGAGAUUAUGGAAACCUGGCUGCAAGUUCAAAAGGCCCUGGUGAUGCCGGGAACCCAUGCUUUGCUCACAAGAUACAUGUAACCAAAUAUCAGUAGAAGGAAAGCACUUUGAAGUUGUCAGUAGGAACUGGAGGCUAAUAAUGAAGGAGUCAGUGAAGGAGGCCAAUGGCAUGAGGGUUAUCUCACAGCCCCAGAUGCUGGAUAAGUUGAAGGAGGCAGAAUCGCUUUUGGAUGACAUUCAGAAAGGCCUGAAUGAUUAUUUGGAGAAGAAAAGACUAUUCUUUCUAAGGUUUUUUUCUUUCUGUGCAACGAUGAGCUCUUAGAAAUCCUUUCUGAGACAAAGGAUCCACUCCGAGACCAACCACACCUGAAGAAAUGCUUUGAAGGAAUUGCCAAGCUCACUUUUAAUCAUGAGAAAGAAAUUACUCACAUGGAGUCAGCAGAAAAUGAAAAAGUAGAGCUCGUGCUGCGAAUAAUUCCAGCAAGUGCCAAGGGGCUAGUUGAGAAAUGGCUUCAUGAGGUGAAUAUCUUUAGCUCUUACUUAGGGUUUAGUUACUGUAUAAUCAUUUUCUCUUUUAGGAGCAAGGAAUAUCAUAAGCAUAUUUCCUAAGUAAAUAGCUCUCUGAGAAUUUAUCAGAUUAUUUGACAGAUUGAAUAUCAGCCUCAUUGUUGUUAUUUAUUACAACUAAUUGACACGUGCAAACAUGCACAAAUUAAUUUUAAUAAAGAGGUUAUCAGUGUGUGAGACACUUAAUAAAAGUGUGUGUGUCUGAAACCA